RNAcentral lists this transfer RNA (85 nucleotides) under Felis catus (domestic cat). It matches the Rfam family "tRNA". Rfam says of the family: Transfer RNA (tRNA) molecules are approximately 80 nucleotides in length. Lineage: Eukaryota; Metazoa; Chordata; Mammalia; Carnivora; Felidae. The record is from Rfam by way of RNAcentral.
ACCUGGGUGGCUCAGUCGGUUGAGCAUCUGACUUCGGCUCAGGUCAUGAUCUCACAGUUUGUGGGUUCAAGCCCCUCAUUAGGCU